UACGAAGGUGGCUAGCGUUGUUCGGAAUUACUGGGCGUAAAGCGCACGUAGGCGGCUCUGUAAGUUGGGGGUGAAAUCCCGAGGCUCAACCUCGGAAUUGCCUUCAAGACUGCAGGGCUUGAGUUCGGGAGAGGUGAGUGGAAUUCCCAGUGUAGAGGUGAAAUUCGUAGAGAUUGGGAAGAACACCAGUGGCGAAGGCGGCUCACUGGCCCGUAACUGACGCUGAGGUGCGAAAGCUUGGGGCGCAAACAGG
Molecule: ribosomal RNA, 253 nt
Filed under: uncultured bacterium
Lineage: Bacteria
Description: partial 16S ribosomal RNA
Rfam family: Bacterial small subunit ribosomal RNA
Source: RNAcentral